GGGAGUGGCGGCGUGCUAUACAUGCAGUCGAACGAGGUGCUUUUGUAGCAAUACGAGAGUAUCCUAGUGGCGAACGGGUGAGUAACGCGUUGGUGACCUGCCCCAAAGUGUGGGAUAACAGUUCGAAAGGAUUGCUAAUACCACAUGUGGUCGUUGGAUUUAGAAACCGAUGACUAAAGCAGUAAUGCGCUUUGGGAGGGACCUGCGUCCCAUCAGCUAGUUGGUGAGGUAACGGCCCACCAAGGCUACGACGGGUAGGGGGCCUGAGAGGGUGGCCCCCCACAAUGGAACUGAAACACGGUCCAUACACCUACGGGUGGCAGCAGUAGGGAAUAUUGCACAAUGGGCGAAAGCCUGAUGCAGCAACGCCGCGUGAGCGAUGAAGGCCUUCGGGUCGUAAAGCUCUUUUCUGGGAGAUGAGAAAGGACAGUAUCCCAGGAAUAAGUCUCGGCUAACUACGUGCCAGCAGCCGCGGUAACACGUAGGAGGCGAGCGUUAUCCGGAUUCACUGGGCGUAAAGCGCGUGCAGGCGGUUCGGUAAGUUGGGCGUGAAAUCUCCCGGCUCAACUGGGAGGGGUCGUCCAAUACUACCGAACUUGAGAGCGAUAGAGGAAAAUGGAAUUCCCGGUGUAGUGGUGAAAUGCGUAGAUAUCGGGAGGAACACCAGUGGCGAAAGCGAUUUUCUGGAUCGUUUCUGACGCUCAGACGCGAAAGCUAGGGUAGCAAACGGGAUUAGAGACCCCGGUAGUCCUAGCUGUAAACGAUGUGAACUUGGCGUUGGUGGCUUAAACUCCAUCAGUGCCGAAGCUAACGCGAUAAGUUCACCGCCUGGGGACUACGGCCGCAAGGUUAAAACUCAAAGGAAUUGACGGGGGCUCACACAAGCGGUGGAGGAUGUGGCUUAAUUCGAGGCUACGCGAAGAACCUUAUCCUAGUCUUGACAUGCAUUUCUAAGUCGGUGAAAGCCGGCGACCGUAGCAAUACGGAACUUGCACAGGUGCUGCAUGGCUGUCGUCAGCUCGUGUCGUGAGAUGUCGCGUUAAGUCGCUUAACGAGCGAAACCCUUGUCCUUAGUUACCAGCGGGUCAUGCCGGGGACUCUAAGGAGACUGCCGGUGUUAAACCGGAGGAAGGUGGGGAUGACGUCAAGUCCUCAUGGCCUUUAUGACUAGGGCUGCACACGUCCUACGAUGGCGGGCACAAAGGGAUGCAAACUCGUGAGAGCAAGCUAAACCCAAAAAUCCCGCCCCAGUUCGGAUUGCAGGCUGCAACUCGCCUGCAUGAAGCCGGAAUCGCUAGUAAUCGCGGGUCAGCAUACCGCGGUGAAUGUGUUCCUGAGCCUUGUACACACCGCCCGUCAAGCCACGAAAGUGGGAGGCAUCCGACAACGCUGUCGUAACCCGCAAGGGAGCAAGGCGUCUAAGAUGAAUUCCGUGAUUGGGACUAAGUCGUAACAAGGUAACCAAUU
Molecule: ribosomal RNA, 1467 nt
Filed under: uncultured bacterium
Lineage: Bacteria
Description: bacterial SSU rRNA
Rfam family: Bacterial small subunit ribosomal RNA
Source: RNAcentral